Hevea brasiliensis (rubber tree) is the source of this 683-nucleotide long non-coding RNA. RefSeq lists it as uncharacterized. NCBI's taxonomy places the organism in Eukaryota, Viridiplantae, Streptophyta, Magnoliopsida, Malpighiales, Euphorbiaceae. The transcript has 3 exons. The record is from RefSeq and is a predicted model, not a curated record.
GAUCAGAUUCGGCAAAUGUCGCCGGCGACCGGCGGCCGGCCACCGUGCGCGGUGGUUUCGGCGGUGGCUCCGGUGGGCUAUGAAGAUGAUUCAACUUCCAGAGGCUUCCUCAUAAAUUUUUGAAAUUUUUGAGACACAGAUAAACUUCGGGUGAUCGAUGUCAGCUAUUUUCCUGCAUCCAGCAGCCAAAAUAAUCAUCGGUGUACUGUGAGUAAAAUAUUAAUUUUAAUUGUAAUUUCAAUAUUAUUAUAUGUUCAAGCAUGCCCAUGCAUCACCUAUAUGCAUAUAUCUAUGUAGUUAAACUCUAGGCACGUUUUAUGUUGCAUUCACAACUAUUAAAGUGCCAUGUAUAUUGUUGUAGUAAUUUAGAGCAGUGUGCGUGCGUUGGCGUGCGUGUGAUGUGGUGUUGGCUAUGGAUAGGACGGGUAGUCACGGCUUGAGAUCUUCGCUGGGACCCGAUCCUUCGGGGGUAGUCACGGCUUGAGUUCUUUGCUGGGACCCCGAUUUGGUUUAUUAAGCGAAAGUCCGGAUUGAGUUCUUCGCUGGCACCAGGCCACAGGAGGAGUUAUUUUACAGAGCAACCUGUUUUCUUCCUCGCAGGUUUAACGUCAAUUAUUUAAUUGUUUUACUAUCUUUUCUAAAUUUAAAAUCUAGAACUCCGCAUGUGUUAGUAAUAGUGUGGG